Long non-coding RNA from Acomys russatus (golden spiny mouse), 557 nucleotides. RefSeq lists it as uncharacterized. NCBI's taxonomy places the organism in Eukaryota, Metazoa, Chordata, Mammalia, Rodentia, Muridae. The record is from RefSeq and is a predicted model, not a curated record. The transcript is spliced from 3 exons.
CUGGCAGAGACUGAGAGCUUUGUGCAAUGGUGGCAGGGUGGGUGAAAAUGAAUCAGAUAUGAAAAUAUCUGAAGCAAUAAAUUAACGCACGGCAGGGGGGGUGAUAGCUUAAUCCUGUCUACUCCAACUCUACCUGACACCCGUGAUUGUUACAGGAGGUGGGACGCGGGAACAGUACUGGAGCGAAAAUGAACGUUCCCCAAAGAUCCCCAGCUCUGCGAUAGAAUGUGUUAUAUGUUGCCUCCUCUGAAGAUGCUUGAUAUAAAAUUGAGUUCCCUUCUAGAAUGUUCUGCGGGCUGUGGAUUGACAAGAUGGAUGCCUGGAUUUGUGUUUCUGAAAUCAAAUUCCAUUCUUUCUGAGGAUUUGUCCCAGGAAAACACCAAAGGGAAGCAUAAAGGAGGAAAAAAAAGUGGGCUGCAAGAUGGAGCUUCAAACAGCAGUUCCAGUCGAUAGCUGUAAAUUGUAGCCCCUGCCUCGGCAAACUUUUAUUUCCCUUAAAAUUUUAACUAGUGUCUGUACACUCUGAGCCUGACAUCACAUGCUCCUCCCUGGCAAUG